RNAcentral lists this ribosomal RNA (771 nucleotides) under uncultured bacterium. Its description in RNAcentral is "bacterial SSU rRNA". It matches the Rfam family "Bacterial small subunit ribosomal RNA", at positions 1 to 795 of the family's 1533-position model. The record is from RNAcentral.
AGAGCAAAUAGCAGCUGUCAGUUGAUCAUGUACGCGCAGUGGUGAUUUGCNUAAGUUGUCUGCUAGACGACGUGCGCGGCUACACAUGCAGUGAGCAGAGNUGUUACAGCGCGACGGUAGUACACGUGGCACUGCCUCAGCACUGGAUACCCGGGAACCGGGCUAUACCGAUACGACCUCCGCGACAUCCGCGUUGGUAGAAGCUCCGACGGCUGAGGAUGGGCCCGCGGCCUAUCAGCUUGUUGGUGGGGUAAUGGCCCACCAAGGCGACGACGGGUAGCCGGCCUGAGAGGGCGAUCGGCCACACUGGGACUGAGACACGGCCCAGACUCCUACGGGAGGCAGCAGUCGGGAAUUUUGGGCAAUUGGCGAAAGCCUGACCCAGCAACGCCGCGUGAAGGACGAAGUCUUUCGGGAUGUAAACUUCGUAAGAAUAGGAAGAAUAAAUGACGGUACUAUUUGUAAGGUCCGGCUAACUACGUGCCAGCAGCCGCGGUAAUACGUAGGGACCAAGCGUUGUUCGGAUUUACUGGGCGUAAAGGGCGCGUAGGCGGCAAUUCAAGUCAGUUGUGAAAUCUCCGGGCUUAACUCGGAACGGUCAACUGAUACUGCUUUGCUAGAGUACAGAAGGGGCAAUCGGAAUUCUUGGUGUAGCGGUGAAAUGCGUAGAUAUCAAGAGGAACACCUGAGGUGAAGACGGGUUGCUGGGCUGAUACUGACGCUGAGGCGCGACAGCUAGGGUAGCAAACGGGAUUAGAUACCCUGGUAGUC